This 253-nucleotide ribosomal RNA is filed under the name uncultured bacterium. RNAcentral's name for it is "partial 16S ribosomal RNA". It matches the Rfam family "Bacterial small subunit ribosomal RNA", at positions 524 to 776 of the family's 1533-position model. The record is from RNAcentral.
GACGGAGGAUGCAAGUGUUAUCCGGAAUCACUGGGCGUAAAGCGUCUGUAGGUGGUUUAAAAAGUCUGCUGUUAAAAAUUGAAGCUUAACUUCAAAGGUGCCGUAGAAACUUUUAAACUUGAGGAUGGUAGGGGUAGAGGGAAUUUCCAGUGGAGCGGUGAAAUGCGUAGAUCUUGGAAAGACCACCAAUGGCGAAGGCACUCUACUGGGCCAUGACUGACACUGAGAGACGAAAGCUAGGGGAGCAAAUGGG